CCCUGGAUAGCUCAGUGGGCAAAGCACUUGACUCGCAAUCUUGGGGUGGCGAGUUCAAAUCCCUCCAGGAA
RNAcentral lists this transfer RNA (71 nucleotides) under Ixodes scapularis (black-legged tick). It matches the Rfam family "tRNA". Rfam says of the family: Transfer RNA (tRNA) molecules are approximately 80 nucleotides in length. Their secondary structure includes four short double-helical elements and three loops (D, anti-codon, and T loops). Further hydrogen bonds mediate the characteristic L-shaped molecular structure. tRNAs have two regions of fundamental functional importance: the anti-codon, which is responsible for specific mRNA codon recognition, and the 3' end, to which the tRNAs corresponding amino acid is attached (by aminoacyl-tRNA synthetases). tRNAs cope with the degeneracy of the genetic code in two manners: having more than one tRNA (with a specific anti-codon) for a particular amino acid; and 'wobble' base-pairing, i.e. permitting non-standard base-pairing at the 3rd anti-codon position. The record is from Rfam by way of RNAcentral. Lineage: Eukaryota; Metazoa; Arthropoda; Arachnida; Ixodida; Ixodidae.